AUCUACGGCCAUGCCACCCUGAACAAGCCUGAUCCCGUCUGAUCUCGGAAGCUAAGCAGGGUCAGGCCUGGUUAGUACUCAGAUGGAAGACCACAUAGGAAGACCAGGUGCUGUAGGCA
This 119-nucleotide ribosomal RNA is filed under the name Pteropus alecto (black flying fox). The record is from RNAcentral. Lineage: Eukaryota; Metazoa; Chordata; Mammalia; Chiroptera; Pteropodidae.